UCGAGUGGCGAACGGGUGAGUAACACGUGGGUAAUCUGCCCUGCACUUCGGGAUAAGCCUGGGAAACUGGGUCUAAUACCGGAUAGGACCUUUUGGCGCAUGCCUUUUGGUGGAAAGCUUUUGCGGUGUGGGAUGGGCCCGCGGCCUAUCAGCUUGUUGGUGGGGUGACGGCCUACCAAGGCGACGACGGGUAGCCGGCCUGAGAGGGUGUCCGGCCACACUGGGACUGAGAUACGGCCCAGACUCCUACGGGAGGCAGCAGUGGGGAAUAUUGCACAAUGGGCGCAAGCCUGAUGCAGCGACGCCGCGUGGGGGAUGACGGCCUUCGGGUUGUAAACCUCUUUCAGCAGGGACGAAGCGCAAGUGACGGUACCUGCAGAAGAAGCACCGGCCAACUACG
This 400-nucleotide ribosomal RNA is filed under the name Mycobacterium lentiflavum. Its description in RNAcentral is "bacterial SSU rRNA". It matches the Rfam family "Bacterial small subunit ribosomal RNA", at positions 91 to 505 of the family's 1533-position model. The record is from RNAcentral. Lineage: Bacteria; Bacillati; Actinomycetota; Actinomycetes; Mycobacteriales; Mycobacteriaceae.